This 253-nucleotide ribosomal RNA is filed under the name uncultured bacterium. RNAcentral's name for it is "partial 16S ribosomal RNA". It matches the Rfam family "Bacterial small subunit ribosomal RNA", at positions 524 to 776 of the family's 1533-position model. The record is from RNAcentral.
UACGGGGGGAGCAAGCGUUGUUCGGAUUUACUGGGCGUAAAGGGCGCGUAGGCGGCCUGUUAAGUCGAACGUGAAAUCCCCGGGCUCAACCCGGGAACUGCGUCCGAUACUGGCAGGCUUGAAUCCGGGAGAGGGAUGCGGAAUUCCAGGUGUAGCGGUGAAAUGCGUAGAUAUCUGGAGGAACACCGGUGGCGAAGGCGGCAUCCUGGACCGACAUUGACGCUGAGGAGCGAAAGCUAGGGGAGCAAACGGG